This is a long non-coding RNA of Hordeum vulgare subsp. vulgare (domesticated barley), 713 nucleotides long. RefSeq lists it as uncharacterized. NCBI's taxonomy places the organism in Eukaryota, Viridiplantae, Streptophyta, Magnoliopsida, Poales, Poaceae. The transcript has 3 exons. The record is from RefSeq and is a predicted model, not a curated record.
UCGUAAUCACUGUUCUUUGGAUUGGCUCCAGCUCGGAUUAAGCCAGUCAACUGAUGAAGGUCACCAUAAAAAGCGGCAUUAUUUACUCUUAAGUCGGGAGAUAGCACGUCAAGAAAAAAGAUGCAUUAUCUAUGAAUACUGGAAUUAGAUGAAAUAAUUAAUGGCAUGUUGGUUGUUUCUACUGUUUACCUCGGGCCUCCGCAACAGCUUAAAUAUUCCUCAAGAGACUUACUAUGACAACACCCAAGAUUAGCGGCUGCCAGCUGGUUAAUACUUAUGGCGCUUCAAGCCAGCAAUCUAAAUUAUCAAGCACCCAAAUCAAAUUUGGAGUGCAGAGCGACAUCAUAAAAAACACUCUGAACUGCAGUAGCCAUACACCUGGUUGGCGUUGUGGAGGCAAGUUACUGGUGUCGCUUAUUAGUUUAAGUUUAGUUGACAUAUCAUGGUAAGCAGAUGCCUUCUACCAUUAUAAUAUCGUAUUGCUGCGUAACAGCUACAUUAGCAUGCAGGCUGUUCAAUCACAUGUUGCUGUCAUCUGUUCUUCAUGCAACAUGUUACAAAGAACAUCUCAGGUUGAACGGCAUAUAAAAACAUGUUGAUGCUUGCUAAAGAUUUAAAAAAAAAGGGGAAUGAUGAAGGACGUGGCGAUUUCUGAUAUACUCCCUCCGUUCUUAAAUAUAAGUCUUUUAAGCGAUUUCACUAGAUGUCUAUAU